This 557-nucleotide ribosomal RNA is filed under the name uncultured Methylobacterium sp. RNAcentral describes it as "bacterial SSU rRNA". It matches the Rfam family "Bacterial small subunit ribosomal RNA", at positions 102 to 694 of the family's 1533-position model. The record is from RNAcentral. Lineage: Bacteria; Pseudomonadati; Pseudomonadota; Alphaproteobacteria; Hyphomicrobiales; Methylobacteriaceae.
ACGGGUGAGUAACGCGUGGGAACGUGCCUUCCGGUUCGGAAUGACCCUGGGAAACUAGGGCCAAUACCGGAUCCGCCCUUAUGGGGAAAGGUUUACUGCCGGAAGAUCAGCCCGCGUCUGAUUACCUAGUUGGUGGGGUAACGGCCUACCAAGGCGACGAUCAGUAGCUGGUCUGAGAGGAUGAUCAGCCACACUGGGACUGAGACACGGCCCAGACUCCUACGGGAGGCAGCAGUGGGGAAUAUUGGACAAUGGGCGCAAGCCUGAUCCAGCCAUGCCGCGUGAGUGAUGAAGGCCUUAGGGUUGUAAAGCUCUUUUAUCCCGGACGAUUAUGACGGUACCGGAGGAAUAAGCCCCGGCUAACUUCGUGCCAGCAGCCGCGGUAAUACUAAGGGGGCUAGCGUUGCUCGGAAUCACUGGGCGUAAAGGGCGCGUAUGCGGCGUUUUAAGUCGGGGGUGAAAGCCUGUGGCUCAACCACAGAAUGGCCUUCGAUACUGGGACGCUUGAGUAUGGUAGAGGUUGGUGGAACUGCCAGUGUACAGGUGAAAUUCGUAGA